This is a non-coding RNA of Xylariaceae sp. FL1272, 89 nucleotides long. NCBI's taxonomy places the organism in Eukaryota, Fungi, Ascomycota, Sordariomycetes, Xylariales, Xylariaceae. The record is from the annotation of a GenBank genome assembly.
GCCCGGUUAGCUCAAUCGGUAGAGCGUGAGACUCUUAAUCUCAAGGUUGCGGGUAAGCUGCAUGUUCGAAUCUUUCCAUUCAUCGUGUG